This 410-nucleotide ribosomal RNA is filed under the name uncultured bacterium. RNAcentral describes it as "bacterial SSU rRNA". It matches the Rfam family "Bacterial small subunit ribosomal RNA", at positions 372 to 774 of the family's 1533-position model. The record is from RNAcentral.
UGGGCGAAAGCCUGAUCCAGCCAUGCCGCGUGUGUGAAGAAGGCCUUCGGGUUGUAAAGCACUUUUGUUGGGAAAGAAAUCCUGUCGGCCAAUACCCGGCGGGGAUGACGGUACCCAAAGAAUAAGCACCGGCUAACUCCGUGCCAGCAGCCGCGGUAAUACGAAGGGUGCAAGCGUUACUCGGAAUUACUGGGCGUAAAGCGUGCGUAGGCGGUUCGUUAAGUCUGUCGUGAAAGCCCUGGGCUCAACCUGCGAAUUGCGAUGGAUACUGGCGAGCUAGAGUACGGUAGAGGAUGGUGGAAUUCCCGGUGUAGCGGUGAAAUGCGUAGAGAUCGGGAGGAACACCCGUGGCGAAGGCGGCCAUCUGGACCAGUACUGACGCUGAGGCACGAAAGCGUGGGGAGCAAACA